ACCAAAUGUGUAAUGGUUGGCGUACUUUUGAAUUUCUUCGUCGUUCAAAAAAGUGGGUCAAUGCAAUGGUUUAGUGAGUUGGGUUGUUGAAAACAAGGGAAUGAGGAGUAUGUAUGUUGCAUGAAUGGAAAAGUGUGAAGAAUCAAUGUUUACAGCAUGGGUACAACUUAUGGAUCAUAAGGUUGACAAAUGAUAACUAACAGAUCAUUUAUUUUAGAUUUGCUUCUUUCAGUAAUUCUUUACUUUGGCACCAUGGGUUCAUUUAUGAUUUAUUAACUAUUCGACUUCAGUCUUCUAUGGUUACCCCUUCAAGAGUGGUUCAGUAUGAUGAUGACGGUGAAAGAUGGAAACAAAUUGAUUUUGAUAAGCAAGGAGCGUAUUUAUUUAAAUAGGUGAAGAUAAAGAAGUGAGCGCAGAAUGCAUUGUGCUCAUGGGUGAGGGCGUACAGCGUGCAUCGCGGGGAGUUGAAGAGUAUAUUCAUUGUGAAAAAGCUUCAUUUGAGACACGUGGCGAAAAGUUUUGCACUGAAGGAGCAGCCGUCCGUCACUGGUGGGGAGAUCGGUUCAGAAGAAGCACACAGAAAAGAGGAAAAGGACACACAAAGUAAAAGAAGGUUUGAAAAAGAAGAGAAAGAUGGCAAACCUGGAGGAGGGAGAUUGAGUUGGCAAAUGAAUGGUGAAAGAUGAUUGAUGGUGAAGGUGCAAAUUGCAAGCAAGCAGCUGGCUGGCUGGAAGGAGAAUAGAAUGAAUGUUUUGACAACCACCAAAACAAGUAAUUAUAUUACAUUACUGAGAAUGAGAUGAUGGAUAAUGUUAUUUGAGUUUCAAUUGAUAAUUAGGUUCCUGUUAAUACUUUGCGUUUCUUAAAUUGGUGUAAUGUUUGGUUUUUAUGCAAUUGAAUUUGGUGAUUUCAAA
Long non-coding RNA from Helianthus annuus (common sunflower), 914 nucleotides. RefSeq lists it as uncharacterized. Lineage: Eukaryota; Viridiplantae; Streptophyta; Magnoliopsida; Asterales; Asteraceae. The transcript is spliced from 5 exons. The record is from RefSeq and is a predicted model, not a curated record.